UACGUAGGUGGCGAGCGUUGUCCGGAUUUACUGGGCGUAAAGGGCUUGUAGGCGGUCCGUUAAGUCCGAUGUGAAAUCUCCCGGCUCAACUGGGAGAGGUCAUUGGAUACUGGCGGACUAGAGGGGGGUAGAGGAAAGCAGAAUUCCUGGUGUAGCGGUGAAAUGCGUAGAUAUCAGGAGGAACACCAAUGGCGAAGGCAGAUCUCUGGGCCGUAACUGACGCUGAGGAGCGAAAGCAUGGGGAGCGAACAGG
RNAcentral lists this ribosomal RNA (253 nucleotides) under uncultured bacterium. Its description in RNAcentral is "partial 16S ribosomal RNA". It matches the Rfam family "Bacterial small subunit ribosomal RNA", at positions 524 to 776 of the family's 1533-position model. The record is from RNAcentral.